AGGGUUCGAUUAUGGCUCAGGAUGAACGCUAGCGGCAGGCCUAACACAUGCAAGUCGAGGGGUAACAUUGUAGCUUGCUACAGAUGACGACCGGCGCACGGGUGCGUAACGCGUAUACAAUCUACCUUUUACUGGGAGAUAGCCUUUGGAAACGAAGAUUAAUAUCCCAUAGUAUGUUUACUUCGCAUGGAGUAGAUAUUAAAGAUUACGGUAAAAGAUGAGUAUGCGUCCUAUUAGCUAGAUGGUAAGGUAACGGCUUACCAUGGCAACGAUAGGUAGGGGCCCUGAGAGGGGGAUCCCCCACACUGGUACUGAGACACGGACCAGACUCCUACGGGAGGCAGCAGUGAGGAAUAUUGGACAAUGGAGGCAACUCUGAUCCAGCCAUGCCGCGUGCAGGAAGACUGCCCUAUGGGUUGUAAACUGCUUUUAUAUAGGAAGAAACGUCCCGACGUGUCGGGAUUUGACGGUACUAUAAGAAUAAGGACCGGCUAACUCCGUGCCAGCAGCCGCGGUAAUACGGAGGGUCCGAGCGUUAUCCGGAAUCAUUGGGUUUAAAGGGUCCGUAGGCGGGCUUCUAAGUCAGUGGUGAAAUCUUACGGCUCAACCGUAAAAUUGCCAUUGAUACUGGAGGUCUUGAAUUAGUGUGAAGUGGUUAGAAUGUGUAGUGUAGCGGUGAAAUGCAUAGAUAUUACACAGAAUACCAAUUGCGAAGGCAGAUCACUAACACUAUAUUGACGCUGAGGGACGAAAGCGUGGGGAGCGAACAGGAUUAGAUACCCUGGUAGUCCACGCCGUAAACGAUGGAUACUAGCUGUUCGAUCUUCGGAUUGAGUGGCUAAGCGAAAGUGAUAAGUAUCCCACCUGGGGAGUACGUUCGCAAGAAUGAAACUCAAAGGAAUUGACGGGGGCCCGCACAAGCGGUGGAGCAUGUGGUUUAAUUCGAUGAUACGCGAGGAACCUUACCAGGGCUUAAAUGUAGCUGGACAGAUUUAGAAAUAGAUCCUCCUCGGACAAUAUACAAGGUGCUGCAUGGUUGUCGUCAGCUCGUGCCGUGAGGUGUCGGGUUAAGUCCCAUAACGAGCGCAACCCCUAUUGUUAGUUGCUAACAGGUAAUGCUGAGGACUCUAGCGAGACUGCCGGUGCAAACCGUGAGGAAGGUGGGGAUGACGUCAAAUCAUCACGGCCCUUACGUCCUGGGCUACACACGUGCUACAAUGGCAGGUACAGAGGGCAGCUACCGGGCGACCGGAUGCUAAUCUUCAAAGCCUGUCUCAGUUCGGAUUGGAGUCUGCAACUCGACUCCAUGAAGCUGGAAUCGCUAGUAAUCGCAUAUCAGCCAUGAUGCGGUGAAUACGUUCCCGGGCCUUGUACACACCUCCCGUCAAGCCAUGGAAGCUGGGAGUGCCUGAAGUCGGUGACCGCAAGGAGCUGCCUAAGGUAAAACUGGUAACUAGGGCUAAGUCGUAACAAGGUAGCCG
This 1481-nucleotide ribosomal RNA is filed under the name uncultured prokaryote. Its description in RNAcentral is "partial 16S ribosomal RNA". It matches the Rfam family "Bacterial small subunit ribosomal RNA". The record is from RNAcentral.